This 494-nucleotide ribosomal RNA is filed under the name uncultured bacterium. RNAcentral describes it as "partial 16S ribosomal RNA". It matches the Rfam family "Bacterial small subunit ribosomal RNA", at positions 28 to 507 of the family's 1533-position model. The record is from RNAcentral.
GACGAACGCUGGCGGCGUGCUUAACACAUGCAAGUCGAACGGUGAAGCGCCUUCCUUUUUGGUGGGUGUGGAUGAGUGGCGAACGGGUGAGUAACUCGUGAGUAACCUGCCCCCUUCUUCUGGAUAACCGCAUGAAAGUGUGGCUAAUACGGGAUAUUCUGGGUCUGUCGCAUGAUGGGUCUGGGAAAGAUAUUGUUUCGGUGGGGGAUGGGCUCGCGGCCUAUCAGCUUGUUGGUGGGGUGAUGGCCUACCAAGGCGGUGACGGGUAGCCGGCCUGAGAGGGUGGACGGUCACACUGGGACUGAGACACGGCCCAGACUCCUACGGGAGGCAGCAGUGGGGAAUAUUGCACAAUGGGCGCAAGCCUGAUGCAGCGACGCCGCGUGAGGGAUGGAGGCCUUCGGGUUGUGAACCUCUUUCGCCAGUGAAGCAGGCCUGCCUCGUUUGUGGGUGGGUUGACGGUAGCUGGAUAAGAAGCGCCGGCUAACUACGUG